Long non-coding RNA from Tripterygium wilfordii, 1352 nucleotides. RefSeq lists it as uncharacterized. The record is from RefSeq and is a predicted model, not a curated record. NCBI's taxonomy places the organism in Eukaryota, Viridiplantae, Streptophyta, Magnoliopsida, Celastrales, Celastraceae. The transcript has 4 exons.
UGCCACAGACCAUCAGUAGAUUUAAUCCUAAUGUCUUCGUAUUCGAUUCCCACAGAAGCGUAAUAGAAGAAGAGAAACUGGAGAGUUGCUGUUGCUCCACCAAUCUUUCAUCGCCUCUCUCUUUCUCCAUCUUCAAUCUUCAGUAAUCGACGUAUAUGACACGAAGAAGAUGAAAUUUUAUUGUUUUCUUGAGUUCCAUCGCCUAGAGAACUUCUCCAUCAAAAUCAAUCCUCAGCUGGAGCAACUGGUGGGGUAGGUAGAAGUUUUUGUGGAAGAAAGGGAUUCCGGUCCAAGUGUUGGUAAUAUGCUCUGAUAUUUUCUAGUGCCGCAUUUAUACAAAUCUUGGCUCACAAAACUGACUAAUCUUUUCUCCUCCAUUUAAGAUUUUCAAUUCACAAUCAUUGCUUAUUUUCUUGCUGUCUGCUCUAUGUUUGGUAAUUGAACUACUUUUACGUGAGAAAUCAAGAGAAUGCGAGGAAAAUGCUGGGCUGAAUCCCACUUUUGUUCUGAUCCUGAAAGAAUGUGAAAUCCUUCCAGCUCAUGUUCGGCAAGUUUGAGUACGACACGGGAAACUGAAUCCCACUUUUGUGGAAGGCGAAUUUCAACUUCCAGUUUCAAGCAUUGGACCUUAUAUAAAGGAUCCAGUCGCUCCCAGGUCUAAAACCUAACUUCACUUAAGGGCGCAAAGCCGCAUACAAACUAAGAUAAACCGAGCCAAAACUUAUAGAACAAACUUGGGCUGUAAGUCUGUAACCUAAUUCCUUAGGUUUCACUGUUUCAGUCCGGCUCAAGUUUGAGAUGUGUUUUGUAGGGGAAGUUUUGCUCAUGCAGGGAGAGUUAACUUCGGCUAGGACUGGUUUGGCAUGGUGUAUCUAAUGGUUCCAUCAAAUUAACUCUUUAUGUCGGAGUCUCUUGGUUCGUACAUGUCAGUUCUGCAGGAGUAACUCGACCUGAUGGGCCUGAACUAGAUCUCAAAUUCUUGGACUCAAAGAGGAUUUGCUUCAUAAGAGAGAGAAACAAUAAAUGUUACAAAAGACAAGAAAAAAUUCAGGGAGAAGUAUGGAAAAUCUUUGUUUAGACACAGCCUGUCAUGGUGAGAGCCCAGAGCAUACCUGCAAAAACUGCCAUGCUUACAUGUGUCUGUCGAUCUCUGGUACUCUGACUGUUCAUCUGGCGUUUCACUGCAACUAGAAAAUGACUGCCAUUUCCCACACAAGAGGAGACAAUGGUGGCUCAUACAUUGAAGCAAACUCUGUAUCUUCUGGCACGGCGGCGGCGAGCUUCCAUUACAUCUCUGAGUCUUCCAAGCAUCUCUUCUUCGGUUAAAAUUCCACCAGGUGAGCUCAUGAAUG